This 460-nucleotide ribosomal RNA is filed under the name uncultured bacterium. Its description in RNAcentral is "partial 16S ribosomal RNA". It matches the Rfam family "Bacterial small subunit ribosomal RNA", at positions 338 to 795 of the family's 1533-position model. The record is from RNAcentral.
GCUACGGGAGGCAGCAGUGAGGAAUAUUGGUCAAUGGGCGCGAGCCUGAACCAGCCAAGUAGCGUGAAGGAUGACUGCCCUACGGGUUGUAAACUUCUUUUAUAAAGGAAUAAAGUGAGGCACGUGUGCCUUUUUGUAUGUACUUUAUGAAAAAGGAAAGGCUAACUCCGUGCCAGCAGCCGCGGUAAUAUGGAGGGUCCGAGCGUUAUCCGGAUUUAUUGGGUUUAAAGGGAGCGUAGAUGGGUUGGUAAGUCAGUUGUGAAAGUUUGCGGCUCAACCGUAAAAUUGCAAUUGAUACUGGCAGCCUUGAGUACAGUUGAGGUAGGCGGAAUUCGUGGUGUAGCGGUGAAAUGCUGAGAUAUCACGAAGAACUCCGAUUGCGAAGGCAGCUUACUAAACUGCCACUGACAUUGAUGCUCGAAAGUGUGGGUAUCAAACAGGAUUAGAUACCCGGGUAGUC